GAAAGUCUGACGGAGCAACGCCGCGUGAGCGAAGAAGGCCUUCGGGUCGUAAAGCUCUGUUGUUAGGGAAGAACAAGUAACGCAGUAACUGGCGUUACCGUGACGGUACCUAACGAGAAAGCCACGGCUAACUACGUGCCAGCAGCCGCGGUAAUACGUAGGUGGCAAGCGUUGUCCGGAAUUAUUGGGCGUAAAGCGCGCGCAGGCGGUUCCUUAAGUCUGAUGUGAAAGCCCACGGCUCAACCGUGGAGGGUCAUUGGAAACUGGGGGACUUGAGUGCAGAAGAGGAGAGCGGAAUUCCACGUGUAGCGGUGAAAUGCGUAGAGAUGUGGAGGAACACCAGUGGCGAAGGCGGCUCUCUGGUCUGUAACUGACGCUGAGGCGCGAAAGCGUGGGGAGCAAACAGGAUUAGAUACCCUGGUAGUCCACGCCGUAAACGAUGAGUGCUAAGUGUUAGAGGGUAUCCACCCUUUAGUGCUGUAGCUAACGCAUUAAGCACUCCGCCUGGGGAGUACGCUCGCAAGAGUGAAACUCAAAGGAAUU
RNAcentral lists this ribosomal RNA (543 nucleotides) under uncultured Caryophanales bacterium. RNAcentral's name for it is "bacterial SSU rRNA". It matches the Rfam family "Bacterial small subunit ribosomal RNA", at positions 377 to 911 of the family's 1533-position model. Lineage: Bacteria; Bacillati; Bacillota; Bacilli; Caryophanales. The record is from RNAcentral.